GCCAGGUGUGGUGGCGCACACCUGUGGUCCCAGCUAGUUGGGAGGUUGAGGCGGGAGGAUGGCUUGAGCCCAGGAGGUUGAGGCUGCAGUGAACCGUGACUGUGCCACUGCACUCCAGCCUGGGCGACAGAGCCAGAUGCUGUCUCAA
This 148-nucleotide non-coding RNA is filed under the name Pan troglodytes (chimpanzee). Lineage: Eukaryota; Metazoa; Chordata; Mammalia; Primates; Hominidae. The record is from Rfam by way of RNAcentral.